RNAcentral lists this ribosomal RNA (495 nucleotides) under uncultured bacterium. Its description in RNAcentral is "partial 16S ribosomal RNA". It matches the Rfam family "Bacterial small subunit ribosomal RNA", at positions 28 to 507 of the family's 1533-position model. The record is from RNAcentral.
GACGAACGCUGGCGGCGUGCCUAAUACAUGCAAGUAGAACGCUGAAGGAGGAGCUUGCUCUUCUGGAUGAGUUGCGAACGGGUGAGUAACGCGUAGGUAACCUGCCUGGUAGCGGGGGAUAACUAUUGGAAACGAUAGCUAAUACCGCAUAAGAGUAGAUGUUGCAUGACAUUUGCUUAAAAGGUGCAAUUGCAUCACUACCAGAUGGAUCUGCGUUGUAUUAGCUAGUUGGUGGGGUAACGGCUCACCAAGGCGACGAUACAUAGCCGACCUGAGAGGGUGAUCGGCCACACUGGGACUGAGACACGGCCCAGACUCCUACGGGAGGCAGCAGUAGGGAAUCUUCGGCAAUGGACGGAAGUCUGACCGAGCAACGCCGCGUGAGUGAAGAAGGUUUUCGGAUCGUAAAGCUCUGUUGUAAGAGAAGAACGAGUGUGAGAGUGGAAAGUUCACACUGUGACGGUAUCUUACCAGAAAGGGACGGCUAACUACGUG